RNAcentral lists this ribosomal RNA (497 nucleotides) under uncultured bacterium. Its description in RNAcentral is "partial 16S ribosomal RNA". It matches the Rfam family "Bacterial small subunit ribosomal RNA", at positions 28 to 507 of the family's 1533-position model. The record is from RNAcentral.
GAUGAACGCUGGCGGCGUGCCUAAUACAUGCAAGUCGAGCGAACGGACGAGAAGCUUGCUUCUCUGAUGUUAGCGGCGGACGGGUGAGUAACACGUGGAUAACCUACCUAUAAGACUGGGAUAACUUCGGGAAACCGGAGCUAAUACCGGAUAAUAUUUUGAACCGCAUGGUUCAAAAGUGAAAGACGGUCUUGCUGUCACUUAUAGAUGGAUCCGCGCUGCAUUAGCUAGUUGGUAAGGUAACGGCUUACCAAGGCAACGAUGCAUAGCCGACCUGAGAGGGUGAUCGGCCACACUGGAACUUAGGCACGGUCCAGACUCCUACGGGAGGCAGCAGUAGGGAAUCUUCCGCAAUGGGCGAAAGCCUGACGGAGCAACGCCGCGUGAGUGAUGAAGGUCUUCGGAUCGGAAAACUCUGUUAUUAGGGAAGAACAUAUGUGUAAGUAACUGUGCACAUCUUGACGGUACCUAAUCAGAAAGCCACGGCUAACUACGUG